Molecule: ribosomal RNA, 256 nt
Filed under: uncultured bacterium
Lineage: Bacteria
Description: partial 16S ribosomal RNA
Rfam family: Bacterial small subunit ribosomal RNA
Source: RNAcentral
UACGGAGGGUGCGAGCGUUGUUCGGAAUUACUGGGCGUAAAGCGCGUGUAGGCGGCCUUCUAAGUCUGGUGUGAAAGCCCGGGGCUCAACCCCGGAAGUGCAUUGGAUACUGGGGAGGCUGGAGUACCGGAGAGGAGGGUGGAAUUCCUGGUGUAGCGGUGAAAUGCGUAGAUAUCAGGAGGAACACCGGUGGCGAAGGCGGCCCUCUGGACGGAGUGACUGACGCUGGAGACGCGAAAGCGUGGGAGCAAACAGG